GGCAAAGUGUGGGGCUCUCAAGCUGGGCUUCCAAGUAAUUUCAGCCUUGCACAUGGAUUACAUUGAGAUUGAAACGGAUUGUCAAGUGUUUUUUUAGCUCAUUUCUGAUCGAAGAAGAUUGUCCAAUCAUGAUUAAAGAUUUUCUCCUGGAUAUCCUGCAACUGCUCCAAGGUAUUGAACAUCAUCAAGUUCGUUGUAUCUACAGAGAAGAGAACUCAGUGGCAGAUUCUUUCGCAACUCAUGCCAGCGAAGGAUGAUUCUUCUUCUUCUUUUAAAUUAAUCUCUACAAUAAUCUCUCAAGUUGAUUUUCUUAUUCUUCUGAAUAAGGUAUGACAUACAACCAUUCCCUACUUAGGGUUUAACUUUUAAUCAUUCUCUUGAUUUAAUUUCAAUUAGAAAUCUUUAUCUUCUUCACCAUUUGUUGUUGUUAAGUCAAUCAAUCAAUCAAUCUCCAUAUCUACUUCUUUUUGUUUGCUUAUAUAAUGUUUUUAUUUAUUUAUUUCUAUCUUGUGUUGUUCUUCUUAUUCAUUUAAGUUACUUUGUAUGUAUUACACUUGUUUUUCUCUUUCUAUUUUUUCAAUUUUAUUCUCCAAUACCAAUAUGGCUUUUGUUAAAGAUGGAUCGAAUUUAAGUCAAUUUUAUUCUGCGUUACAGAUUCACACGCUUGUAGUUACAGAUUAUGAAAUGGACUAUAUAGGUAACAAAUUCACACGCUUGUAGUUAAGUUUAUAUAGUUAAUUUUGUUUACAUUCUUUGGCUAAUUAAUAGGCUAAUCCAUGUAGAACUAACAGGUGACAAUAAUUUUUUUCCAUAGAGUUUUGCAGACCUCAUGGAGAGUUCAAUUAUGCACAAAGACAAGAUUUUAAUCUGAUGGUAUUGAUUUUGAUUUUUGUGUUCUAAUCUUGACAAUGACCAAGCUAGUCACUAAUUCACUGUUUCCUAAUCUGUUUUAUAUCUUUGAACACAAAAUUCCAAAUUGUGUGUUUUAAAAGAAUUUUGUGUUUGAAGUCAAGAACGAAGUAGGCCUACAUGAGUCGAUCAUUUUGGUUGAAUUCACAAUGUCAUGAACAGUGUCUGAAGUGUCUGAGUAACGACUAACGAGUGAAAUAAAAUGUGGAAGUGGUUUGUAAUUGGUAUUGAACGUGUUUGUCUUAUUGUUGUUGUAGACUUGUAGUAGUUUAUGAGAGAAGUUUGAAAACCAGAAAUUGCACUUAUAAUUAAGCUAGUCUAAUAAUCCUUGUGGUGCAGAUCCACCCAAUUUGACAUAAGCCACUUAGUCAGACCAUCUUCUUAGUAAUCCAUUGAUUGACAUUGGAUGUGCAGUACGUUACAUGUGAAAGGUAUGCUUAUUUAUUUAAGAAAAACAUUGCAAUCUCUAUGAUAAAGUGUGUGUAGUACUCGUGAACAUCAUGUUUUUUUGUUUAAUUUGUUAAGAUAUCCUAGCAAUUUAGCUUACAGUAUUGUUGAACAUGGCCACUUGCUAACAUGUAAUCAAUAAUUUCAGGUCUAUUUGAUUAUUUAGUAGAGAGAGCAACCAACCAAAUUCCUGUUGUUGGUUUCUCCAUGAUAGACUGGUUCAGAUAAGCUGAUCAUGAUGCCAAAGAGAAGUACUUUGCUGAUGAUUAUUAAUGGACAGAUUCUCCUAGCAUAGAUUUAUGUUCUUAACCUCUUGAAGAAGCAAAAUGUACUUUACAACUUUUGUUGAAGGUUUUAUUGUGUGAAAUUUUAUGUUGUUAAACAGUUGUACAAUUUUUAAUUGAAAGGUAAGGCAUGUUGCUUGUAUUUAGUAAAAAUAAUGUUUACU
RNAcentral lists this long non-coding RNA (1804 nucleotides) under Aquilegia coerulea. RNAcentral's name for it is "long non-coding RNA (ACOE_LNC001259)". The record is from RNAcentral. Lineage: Eukaryota; Viridiplantae; Streptophyta; Magnoliopsida; Ranunculales; Ranunculaceae.